This 520-nucleotide ribosomal RNA is filed under the name uncultured Acaulospora. RNAcentral describes it as "SSU rRNA". It matches the Rfam family "Eukaryotic small subunit ribosomal RNA", at positions 569 to 1090 of the family's 1831-position model. Lineage: Eukaryota; Fungi; Glomeromycota; Glomeromycetes; Diversisporales; Acaulosporaceae. The record is from RNAcentral.
AGCAGCCGCGGUAAUUCCAGCUCCAAUAGCGUAUAUUAAAGUUGUUGCAGUUAAAAAGCUCGUAGUUGAAUUUCGGGGUUUAUCCGUUGGUCGGGCUUUUGGGUCUGUACUGGCGUGAUGGAUUCCUACCUUCUGAAUAACCAGCAUGUCAUUAAUUUGGUGCGUUGGGGAAGCAGGACUGUUACCUUGAAAAAUUAGAGUGCUUAAAGCAGGCUAUUGCCUGAAUACAUUAGCAUGGAAUAAUGAAAUAGGACGCAUGGUUCUAUUUUGUUGGUUUCUAGGAUCACCGUAAUGAUUAAUAGGGAUAGUUGGGGGCAUUAGUAUUCAAUUGUCAGAGGUGAAAUUCUUGGAUUUAUUGAAGACUAAACUUCUGCGAAAGCAUUUGCCAAGGAUGUUUUCAUUAAUCAAGAACGAAAGUUAGGGGAUCGAAGACGAUCAGAUACCGUCGUAGUCUUAACCAUAAACUAUGCCGACUAGGGAUCGGACGAUGUUAAUUUUUAAUGACUCAUUCGGCGCCUUA